AAUGAACGCUGGCGGCGUGCCUAACACAUGCAAGUCGAACGAGAAACUCCGAGCUUGCUUGGAGGAGUAAAGUGGCGAACGGGUGAGUAACGCGUGGGUAACCUGCCCCUGAAUCUGGGAUAACAUCGCGAAAGCCUUGCUAAUACCGGAUAUUGUCGUUGGGGUAUUGCUCUAAUGAUGAAAGGUGACCUCUCCACGGAAGUUGCCGUUCAGGGAGGGGCCCGCGUACCAUUAGCUUGUUGGUGGGGUAACGGCCUACCAAGGCGACGAUGGUUAGCUGGUCUGAGAGGAUGAUCAGCCACACUGGAACUGAAACACGGUCCAGACUCCUACGGGAGGCUG
Molecule: ribosomal RNA, 342 nt
Filed under: uncultured Pseudomonadota bacterium
Lineage: Bacteria; Pseudomonadati; Pseudomonadota
Description: bacterial SSU rRNA
Rfam family: Bacterial small subunit ribosomal RNA
Source: RNAcentral